UACAGAGGUCUCAAGCGUUGUUCGGAUUCAUUGGGCGUAAAGGGUGCGUAGGUGGCGCCGUAAGUCAGGUGUGAAAUCUCGGAGCUCAACUCCGAAACUGCACUUGAUACUGCGGUGCUCGAGUACUGGAGAGGAGAUUGGAAUUUACGGUGUAGCAGUGAAAUGCGUAGAUAUCGUAAGGAAGACCAGUGGCGAAGGCGAAUCUCUGGACAGUUACUGACACUGAGGCACGAAGGCCAGGGGAGCGAACGGG
RNAcentral lists this ribosomal RNA (253 nucleotides) under uncultured bacterium. RNAcentral's name for it is "partial 16S ribosomal RNA". It matches the Rfam family "Bacterial small subunit ribosomal RNA", at positions 524 to 776 of the family's 1533-position model. The record is from RNAcentral.